GGAUGUGAGGGUGAUCUGGCUGCGACAUCUGUCACCCCAUUGAUCGCCAGGGUUGGUUUGGCUGAUCUGACCGGCUAGGCGGGUGUCCCUUCCCCUCCCUCCCUGCUCCUUGUGCGUCCCUCCCAAAACUGCCUGCUCCGUGGAAGAUGAAGACCAUCCCAGAUAGAAGGAGCCUACUGUUUUUCAGUCAAGGGUGUACGAUAGAAUGUGCCUCCAUGUAAAAAUAAAAAUCCUUUGUGUGCACAGAAAGCUAGCAGAUCAGG
This is a non-coding RNA of Podarcis lilfordi (Lilford's wall lizard), 263 nucleotides long. NCBI's taxonomy places the organism in Eukaryota, Metazoa, Chordata, Lepidosauria, Squamata, Lacertidae. The record is from the annotation of a GenBank genome assembly.